GCCGCGGUGGUCUAGUGGCUAAGGUACUCGGCUACUGACCCAGAGGACGCGGGUUCGAAUCCCGGCUGCGGCG
This 73-nucleotide transfer RNA is filed under the name Rhipicephalus microplus (southern cattle tick). RNAcentral's name for it is "tRNA-Ser". It matches the Rfam family "tRNA". From Rfam's summary of the family: Transfer RNA (tRNA) molecules are approximately 80 nucleotides in length. The record is from Rfam by way of RNAcentral. Lineage: Eukaryota; Metazoa; Arthropoda; Arachnida; Ixodida; Ixodidae.